This 492-nucleotide ribosomal RNA is filed under the name uncultured bacterium. Its description in RNAcentral is "partial 16S ribosomal RNA". It matches the Rfam family "Bacterial small subunit ribosomal RNA", at positions 29 to 507 of the family's 1533-position model. The record is from RNAcentral.
AGUGAACGCUGGCGGUAGGCCUAACAAAUGCAAGUCGAACGGCAGCACAGUAAGAGCUUGCUCUUACGGGUGGCGAGUGGCGGACGGGUGAGGAAUACAUCGGAAUCUACUUUUUCGUGGGGGAUAACGUAGGGAAACUUACGCUAAUACCGCAUACGACCUACGGGUGAAAGCAGGGGAUCUUCGGACCUUGCGCGAUCGAAUGAGCCGAUGUCGGAUUAGCUAGUUGGCGGGGUAAAGGCCCACCAAGGCGACGAUCCGUAGCUGGUCUGAGAGGAUGAUCGGCCACACUGGAACUGAGACACGGUCCAGACUCCUACGGGAGGCAGCAGUGGGGAAUAUUGGACAAUGGGCGCAAGCCUGAUCCAGCCAUACCGCGUGGGUGAAGAAGGCCUUCGGGUUGUAAAGCCCUUUUGUUGGGAAAGAAAAGCAGCAGGUUAAUACCCCGCUGUUCUGACGGUACCCAAAGAAUAAGCACCGGCUAACUUCGUG